GGGUUGUGAGGUUAAGCGACUAAGCGUACACGGUGGAUGCCCUGGCAGUCAGAGGCGAUGAAGGACGUGCUAAUCUGCGUAAAGCGACGGUAAGGUGAUAUGAACCGCUACAGCCGUCGAUGUCCGAAUGGGGAAACCCGGUGCACUCAGUGCAUCAUUGCAGCAUGAAUACAUAGUGCUGCAAGGCGAACCGGGGGAACUGAAACAUCUAAGUACCCCGAGGAAAAGAAAUCAACCGAGAUUCCCCCAGUAGCGGCGAGCGAACGGGGAGCAGCCCAGAGCCUGAAUCAGCUUGUGUGUUAGUGGAAGCGUCUGGAAAGUCGCAGGGUACAGGGUGAUACUCCCGUACACAAAAACACACAGGCUGUGAGCUCGAUGAGUAAGGCGGGACACGUGGUAUCCUGUCUGAAUAUGGGGGGACCAUCCUCCAAGGCUAAAUACUCCUGACUGACCGAUAGUGAACCAGUACCGUGAGGGAAAGGCGAAAAGAACCCCGGCGAGGGGAGUGAAACAGAACCUGAAACCGUGUACGUACAAGCAGUGGGAGCCUCUUUAUGGGGUGACUGCGUACCUUUUGUAUAAUGGGUCAGCGACUUAUAUUCUGUAGCAAGGUUAACCGUAUAGGGGAGCCGCAGGGAAACCGAGUCUUAACUGGGCGUUAAGUUGCAGGGUAUAGACCCGAAACCCGGUGAUCUAGCCAUGGGCAGGUUGAAGGUUGGGUAACACUAACUGGAGGACCGAACCGACUAAUGUUGAAAAAUUAGCGGAUGACCUGUGGCUGGGGGUGAAAGGCCAAUCAAACCGGGAGAUAGCUGGUUCUCCCCGAAAGCUAUUUAGGUAGCGCCUCGUGAACUCAUCUUCGGGGGUAGAGCACUGUUUCGGCUAGGGGGCCAUCCCGGCUUACCAACCCGAUGCAAACUGCGAAUACCGAAGAAUGUUAUCACGGGAGACACACGGCGGGUGCUAACGUCCGUCGUGAAGAGGGAAACAACCCAGACCGCCAGCUAAGGUCCCAAAGUCAUGGUUAAGUGGGAAACGAUGUGGGAAGGCACAGACAGCCAGGAUGUUGGCUUAGAAGCAGCCAUCAUUUAAAGAAAGCGUAAUAGCUCACUGGUCGAGUCGGCCUGCGCGGAAGAUGUAACGGGGCUAAACCAUGCACCGAAGCUGCGGCAGCGACACUAUGUGUUGUUGGGUAGGGGAGCGUUCUGUAAGCCGUCGAAGGUGUGCUGUGAGGCAUGCUGGAGGUAUCAGAAGUGCGAAUGCUGACAUAAGUAACGAUAAAGCGGGUGAAAAGCCCGCUCGCCGGAAGACCAAGGGUUCCUGUUCAACGUUAAUCGGAGCAGGGUGAGUCGACCCCUAAGGCGAGGCCGAAAGGCGUAGUCGAUGGGAAACAGGUUAAUAUUCCUGUACUUGGUGUUACUGCGAAGGGGGGACGGAGAAGGCUAUAUC
RNAcentral lists this ribosomal RNA (1449 nucleotides) under Pantoea brenneri. RNAcentral describes it as "partial 23S ribosomal RNA". It matches the Rfam family "Bacterial large subunit ribosomal RNA", at positions 1 to 1488 of the family's 2925-position model. Lineage: Bacteria; Pseudomonadati; Pseudomonadota; Gammaproteobacteria; Enterobacterales; Erwiniaceae. The record is from RNAcentral.